CCUACGGGAGGCAGCAGUGGGGAAUAUUGGUCAAUGGACGCAAGCCUGACCCAGCAAUGCCGCGUGAAGGAAGAAGGCUUUCUGGUUGUAAACUUCUUUUACAGGGGAAGAACAGAAGACGGUACCCUGAUAACAAGCCACGUCUAACGAAGUGCCAGCAGCCGCGGUAAUACGUAGGGGGCAGGCGUUGUCCGGAUUUACUGGGUGUAAAGGGCGUGUAGGCGGGAAGGCAAGUCAGAUGUGAAGUCUGGAGGCUCAACCUCGAAAUUGCAUUUGAAACUGUUCUUCUUGAGUAUUGGGGCGGCAGACGGAAUGCAUGGUGUAGCGGUGAAAUGCGUAGAUAUAA
This 346-nucleotide ribosomal RNA is filed under the name uncultured bacterium. Its description in RNAcentral is "partial 16S ribosomal RNA". It matches the Rfam family "Bacterial small subunit ribosomal RNA", at positions 338 to 699 of the family's 1533-position model. The record is from RNAcentral.